Danio aesculapii is the source of this 385-nucleotide long non-coding RNA. RefSeq lists it as uncharacterized. Lineage: Eukaryota; Metazoa; Chordata; Actinopteri; Cypriniformes; Danionidae. The record is from RefSeq and is a predicted model, not a curated record. The transcript is spliced from 3 exons.
CAUUUUCCUAACAGCUGUUUUCUCUGCUGCUCCAGCAACGACUCGAGAUGAUCUGCUCUCUUCACUGCAGCCUGAAAGACAGAAGAAAAACACAAACGCACUAGUUCACACAUAAACAGGAAGAAGGACCCACCGGUUGUCAGCUGCUCGCUCACACUCCUCUCUGGCCUCUCUGGUCUCCACCUCCAGCCUCUGAAUGGCCAGUUCGAUCUCUUUGUCUCUUCCACGACGCACUUCCUCCUUCAGCUCCCUCUCUCGACUCAACAGCCAUGCUUCCUGUGGGUGGAAAUGCAAAUGUGGAAGUGUGUUACCUGAUGACGUCUCUCCUGCUCAUCCCUGCUCUUCUCCAGCUCUUCUCUCAAUGCUCUUCCAGCCAAAGAGCUGU